CCCAGUCCUGCACAGCCAUAGCACGUGGAAGGUGCUCACAAUGCUGAGUCGUAGCCUCCUCAGCCUUCGUGUUUCUGCUUCUGUGAGGUCAAGACAGCACAGGCAGUGCUGAGCAAGGGCCUUGGCCUCAGUCAGAAGGCCCCAGCAUGGAUUUUCUGCCCAACCCCUUUCUCACUGUAUAAUUCUGGGCAAGUGACCACUGAGACCCUGAAAGUGGGCACAAUGAGAGACCCAGCUCCCAGGGCCAUGGGGAGACCCUCAUGAGGAGCACAUGAAAAUGCUUGGCUCCCUGCCUGCCAUGGCCACCUUCUUGCCCAUCAGAGCCUCAAAGUGGAUGUGCAGGUAACUCUGGAUUCCCUUUGCUCAAGUCCUCGCUAGCUCGAGGACUUUCUUCCACUCUGUUCUUGAAGGUGGCUCAUGAGAGAGGUUGCAGGGCAGUCCACCAGCCUGUCCAGUGUCCAGCAGGGGCUCAGGAGACACACAGCAACUGCACCCCACCUUCCUGUCUGCUGGCUGGAGACGCCCUUCCCCUCCUCAUGAAGACAAUGGCUGGACAUCCUGUGGAGCUGGACCCUAAACCGGUGAGGGUACAACUGAGUGAAGCCAAGUUGCUGAGACGAAUGGGAUAAGCAUGUCAUUGCAUUAAACGGACAUUUCCCCCUGUGGCCUUUAAUAAUUUAUGCCUUAAAGAAGACAGGUAGAGGUCCAGCGAACUAGUUAAAAAUACCAGAUCUCACAGAUGAGAAGUAUGGUUCUUAUUAAAGUGUCUGCUUGCUACCUUGACAGUUUCUAAGAAGCAAAUAUUUCUACUGCUCCAGAUAUAAGCAAACAAAGUUACGUAGCCAGGGGAAAUCCACUUUGAAAAACAAAUGAAUCCAUGAGACUCCCCCUUGAUGACACAGCUCUCGGUGCAGAAUCGGAUGAUAAAGUGGAGUGCCUGCAGGAAAAAUGC
RNAcentral lists this long non-coding RNA (952 nucleotides) under Equus asinus (donkey). RNAcentral describes it as "lncRNA (ENSEASG00005033161.1)". Lineage: Eukaryota; Metazoa; Chordata; Mammalia; Perissodactyla; Equidae. The record is from RNAcentral.